Molecule: ribosomal RNA, 540 nt
Filed under: uncultured bacterium
Lineage: Bacteria
Description: bacterial SSU rRNA
Rfam family: Bacterial small subunit ribosomal RNA
Source: RNAcentral
ACUCAAUAGAUACCCAGGUAGUCCACGCCGUAAACUAUGGAUGCUAGCUGUUAGAAGUAUCGACCCUUCUAGUAGCGAAAGCUAACGCGUUAAGCAUCCCGCCUGUGGAGUACGAGCGCAAGCUUAAAACAUAAAGGAAUUGACGGGGACCCGGCACAAGCGGUGGAGCGUGUUGUUUAAUUCGACGAUAAGCGAAGAACCUUACCAGGGCUUGACAUCCUGCGAAUUUCUCCGAAACGGAGAAAGUGCUUUAUUGAGCGCAGUGACAGGUGUUGCAUGGCCGUCGUCAGCUCGUGUCGUGAGAUGUUUGGUUAAGUCCAUCAACGAGCGCAACCCGUUAUAGUCAGUUGAAUUUCUCUGGCUAGACUGCCCCGGGUCAACGGGGGUAGGAAGGAGGGGUAUGAUGUCAGGUCAGUAUUACCCCGUUACGUCCUGGGCUACAAACACGCUACAAUGGCCGGUUACAAACGGGCAGCCAACCCGGCGAGGGGUAGCAAAUCCCAUCAAACGCCGGUUCUCAGUUCGGAUUGUAGGCUGAAA